Molecule: ribosomal RNA, 782 nt
Filed under: uncultured Verrucomicrobiota bacterium
Lineage: Bacteria; Pseudomonadati; Verrucomicrobiota
Description: bacterial SSU rRNA
Rfam family: Bacterial small subunit ribosomal RNA
Source: RNAcentral
GAAUGCAAGUCGAACGAGAACUUUCGCUGUAGCAAUACAGUGGAAGUUUUAGUGGCGAACGGGUGCGUAACACGUGGACAAUCUGCCUUGAAGUGGGGGAUAGCUCGGCGAAAGCCGAAUUAAUACCGCAUGUGAUCAGGUUACUUCGGUGACCGAAAUUAAAGACGGCGCAAGCUGUCGCUUUUUGAGGAGUCCGCGGCCUAUCAGCUAGUUGGUGAGGUAACGGCUCACCAAGGCUUUGACGGGUAGCUGGUCUGAGAGGACGACCAGCCACACUGGAACUGAGACACGGUCCAGACACCUACGGGUGGCAGCAGUCGAGAAUUUUUCUCAAUGGGGGAAACCCUGAAGGAGCGACGCCGCGUGGAGGAUGAAGGUCUUCGGGUUGUAAACUCCUGUCAUUUGGGAACAAGUUAGUGCGGUUAACUGCCGCAUUAUUGAUAGUACCAGAAGAGGAAGAGACGGCUAACUCUGUGCCAGCAGCCGCGGUAAUACAGAGGUCUCAAGCGUUGUUCGGAUUCAUUGGGCGUAAAGGGUGCGUAGGUGGCGCCGUAAGUCAGGUGUGAAAUUUCGGAGCUUAACUCCGAAGCUGCAUUUGAUACUGCGGUGCUUGAGGACUGGAGAGGAGACUGGAAUUUACGGUGUAGCAGUGAAAUGCGUAAAGAUCGUAAGGAAGACCAGUGGCGAAGGCGGGUCUCUGGACAGUUCCUGACACUGAGGCACGAAGGCCAGGGGAGCGAACGGGAUUAGAUACCCCGGUAGUCCUGGCAGUAAACGGUGCA